ACACUUGUGGCGAAGCGGCUAAACGCGAAGGUCUGCAAAACCUUUAUUUCAUGGGUUCAAAUCCCAUCAUGUGCUCCA
Molecule: transfer RNA, 78 nt
Filed under: compost metagenome
Description: tRNA-Cys
Rfam family: tRNA
About the family: Transfer RNA (tRNA) molecules are approximately 80 nucleotides in length.
Source: RNAcentral